UGUGGGGGGGGCUUGCACGAAUAGUAAUAGUUACCACUGCAUCUAGAAAUUUAAAGCAUUCAUGCAGACAAGGAUGAUUCUUUAUAUUUUUGGCUACCACUUCAAAUGCCUCCACUAAGUGUUACAAUGCUGCACGCAGCCAUACUAAGGAUCUCACAGCAACACUUGCAGGUAAACAGCAAAAGCAGUCAAAGUGCUGGUGUAUUCUGGACACUGUCUUUGAAAACUUUUAGGCAAGAACAGUGCAAGAAACAGACAUAAGAACUGCAUUUAUUUCUAUAAUUCCCCAUUUGAAUGGCCUUUUCUUUUUCCUUCGACAAUGCCUUCGCCUAGCCACAGCAGCUCCCUCAUACAGACUCCGCAAGCCAAGAGGCCGUGGAGGCAAAUGCAGACAGCCAGCACACCUCGAACAGCCACCUUGACUGCGGGUGUGUCACCCUAGUCGCCAAGGAAACAUUUGAGGGAAAGCGACAGGCAAUGUGAACAGCCACUUCUCCAUGUAAACGAUACUCUUUAUCUCGGAUGACUCCUAUGUUCGCCACGCCAGCACACUUGUGCACAAAGAUGCCGCGGAGGCACGUGCAGGUCAGAGGCAAGAAGCAGUGGCACUGGUGUCGACAUUCGCCCAAUUUCUUUUUCUUACACUGAGGCAGCCAGCACACCUCGAACAGCCACCUUAACUGCGGGUGUGUUAAUAGAUUCCUGUUGUACAUAUGCUCAUAAUAAACUUCAGUAAACUUGAACUUGAUAAUAAACUUGAAGGCAAAUGGGA
This is a long non-coding RNA of Dermacentor andersoni, 772 nucleotides long. RefSeq lists it as uncharacterized. The record is from RefSeq and is a predicted model, not a curated record. Lineage: Eukaryota; Metazoa; Arthropoda; Arachnida; Ixodida; Ixodidae.